UUUUCAGUUUGUCUUGAAAGGUAAGAAGAUUCCUAACAAGACAAGAUGAGGGCUAAGUGGAGAAAGAAGCGCAUGAGGAGACUGAAGCGUAAAAGGAGGAAGAUGAGGGCUAGGUCGAAGUAGAUCAACUCCAUCACUCCCCUUCACAUAAUUGGCCAGCUUGCCUCCAUCUGCAGACCAUCACCUGUGACAACCCUUUGAACAGAAGUUACCACUUGUGUUUAAAAUUAUGAUGAUUAUGAAGACGAUGAUGAUGAUGAAGAAUUGUGUUGAUUGUGUGAACCCUCUCAGAUGGAUCAGACAUCACACCCCUAUCACAGUUGAUGGUUCAAGCUUGCCAAUAGGUAAAUUUCAACUUGAAACUUAACCCUCAUCGGGUCACCAAGGCAACAACAGCAACAAUAUAAUAGCAGCAGCAACAACACAUUGUGAUUCACCAUCUGUGGAGUCUAUGGUUGAAUAAGAAACAGCACCGGGCACAUACAGGAGAGAAGUAUGAAGAAGACGACUCACUGACGUGUACGCCAACACUGGGCGGACAGGUUAUUAGUUUUGACUAUAGACCUCGUCUUAUGGUGGUCAUUCGAAACAAAUCUAUUGGUUUGGGAUGCGUGAUUGGUUGGCUGGACAAGUGAACAUCUCAUCAGUCAGACUUUAAAAUUGUGUGAAGGAAUUAAAAAAAUGAAAAUAAAAAAGAA
This is a long non-coding RNA of Ylistrum balloti, 698 nucleotides long. RefSeq lists it as uncharacterized. The record is from RefSeq and is a predicted model, not a curated record. Lineage: Eukaryota; Metazoa; Mollusca; Bivalvia; Pectinida; Pectinidae. The transcript is spliced from 4 exons.